RNAcentral lists this ribosomal RNA (717 nucleotides) under uncultured Acinetobacter sp. RNAcentral describes it as "bacterial SSU rRNA". It matches the Rfam family "Bacterial small subunit ribosomal RNA", at positions 73 to 785 of the family's 1533-position model. Lineage: Bacteria; Pseudomonadati; Pseudomonadota; Gammaproteobacteria; Moraxellales; Moraxellaceae. The record is from RNAcentral.
GAGGNGCUUGCACCUUAUCUUAGCGGCGGACGGGUGAGUAAUGCUUAGGAAUCUGCCUAUUAGUGGGGGACAACAUUCCGAAAGGAAUGCUAAUACCGCAUACGUCCUACGGGAGAAAGCAGGGGAUCUUCGGACCUUGCGCUAAUAGAUGAGCCUAAGUCGGAUUAGCUAGUUGGUGGGGUAAAGGCCUACCAAGGCGACGAUCUGUAGCGGGUCUGAGAGGAUGAUCCGCCACACUGGGACUGAGACACGGCCCAGACUCCUACGGGAGGCAGCAGUGGGGAAUAUUGGACAAUGGGGGGAACCCUGAUCCAGCCAUGCCGCGUGUGUGAAGAAGGCCUUAUGGUUGUAAAGCACUUUAAGCGAGGAGGAGGCUACUGAGACUAAUACUCUUGGAUAGUGGACGUUACUCGCAGAAUAAGCACCGGCUAACUCUGUGCCAGCAGCCGCGGUAAUACAGAGGGUGCGAGCGUUAAUCGGAUUUACUGGGCGUAAAGCGUGCGUAGGCGGCUUUUUAAGUCGGAUGUGAAAUCCCCGAGCUUAACUUGGGAAUUGCAUUCGAUACUGGGAAGCUAGAGUAUGGGAGAGGAUGGUAGAAUUCCAGGUGUAGCGGUGAAAUGCGUAGAGAUCUGGAGGAAUACCGAUGGCGAAGGCAUCCAUCUGGCCUAAUACUGACGCUGAGGUACGAAAGCAUGGGGAGCAAACAGGAUUAGAUAC